GACGAACGCUGGCGGCGUGCUUAACACAUGCAAGUCGAACGGAAAGGCCCUUCGGGGUACUCGAGUGGCGAACGGGUGAGUAACACGUGGGUGAUCUGCCCUGCACUUUGGGAUAAGCCUGGGAAACUGGGUCUAAUACCGGAUAGGACCACGGCAUGCAUGUGCUGUGGUGGAAAGCUUUUGCGGUGUGGGAUGGGCCCGCGGCCUAUCAGCUUGUUGGUGAGGUUACGGCUCACCAAGGCGACGACGGGUAGCCGGCCUGAGAGGGUGUCCGGCCACACUGGGACUGAGAUACGGCCCAGACUCCUACGGGAGGCAGCAGUGGGGAAUAUUGCACAAUGGGCGCAAGCCUGAUGCAGCGACGCCGCGUGAGGGAUGACGGCCUUCGGGUUGUAAACCUCUUUCGCCGGGGACGAAGCGCAAGUGACGGUACCUGGAGAAGAAGCACCGGCCAACUACGUGCCAGCAGCCGCGGUAAUACGUAGGGUGCGAGCGUUGUCCGGAAUUACUGGGCGUAAAGAGCUCGUAGGUGGUUUGUCGCGUUGUUCGUGAAAACUUACAGCUUAACUGUGGGCGUGCGGGCGAUACGGGCAGACUGGAGUACUGCAGGGGAGACUGGAAUUCCUGGUGUAGCGGUGGAAUGCGCAGAUAUCAGGAGGAACACCGGUGGCGAAGGCGGGUCUCUGGGCAGUAACUGACGCUGAGGAGCGAAAGCGUGGGGAGCGAACAGGAUUAGAUACCCUGGUAGUCCACGCCGUAAACGGUGGGUACUAGGUGUGGGUUUCCUUCCUUGGGAUCCGUGCCGUAGCUAACGCAUUAAGUACCCCGCCUGGGGAGUACGGCCGCAAGGCUAAAACUCAAAGGAAUUGACGGGGGCCCGCACAAGCGGCGGAGCAUGUGGAUUAAUUCGAUGCAACGCGAAGAACCUUACCUGGGUUUGACAUGCACAGGACGCCGGCAGAGAUGUCGGUUCCCUUGUGGCCUGUGUGCAGGUGGUGCAUGGCUGUCGUCAGCCCGUGUCGUGAGAUGUUGGGUUAGGUCCCGCAACGAGCGCAACCCUUGUCUCAUGUUGCCAGCACGUAAUGGUGGGGACUCGUGAGAGACUGCCGGGGUCAACUCGGAGGAAGGUGGGGAUGACGUCAAGUCAUCAUGCCCCUUAUGUCCAGGGCUUCACACAUGCUACAAUGGCCGGUACAAAGGGCUGCGAUGCCGUGAGGUGGAGCGAAUCCUUUCAAAGCCGGUCUCAGUUCGGAUCGGGGUCUGCAACUCGACCCCGUGAAGUCGGAGUCGCUAGUAAUCGCAGAUCAGCAACGCUGCGGUGAAUACGUUCCCGGGCCU
Molecule: ribosomal RNA, 1338 nt
Filed under: uncultured bacterium
Lineage: Bacteria
Description: bacterial SSU rRNA
Rfam family: Bacterial small subunit ribosomal RNA
Source: RNAcentral